This 449-nucleotide ribosomal RNA is filed under the name Salmonella enterica subsp. enterica. RNAcentral's name for it is "partial 23S ribosomal RNA". It matches the Rfam family "Bacterial large subunit ribosomal RNA", at positions 2261 to 2709 of the family's 2925-position model. The record is from RNAcentral. Lineage: Bacteria; Pseudomonadati; Pseudomonadota; Gammaproteobacteria; Enterobacterales; Enterobacteriaceae. RNAcentral also lists the same sequence under 2 other names.
GUGGGUAGUUUGACUGGGGCGGUCUCCUCCUAAAGAGUAACGGAGGAGCACGAAGGUUGGCUAAUCCUGGUCGGACAUCAGGAGGUUAGUGCAAUGGCAUAAGCCAGCUUGACUGCGAGCGUGACGGCGCGAGCAGGUGCGAAAGCAGGUCAUAGUGAUCCGGUGGUUCUGAAUGGAAGGGCCAUCGCUCAACGGAUAAAAGGUACUCCGGGGAUAACAGGCUGAUACCGCCCAAGAGUUCAUAUCGACGGCGGUGUUUGGCACCUCGAUGUCGGCUCAUCACAUCCUGGGGCUGAAGUAGGUCCCAAGGGUAUGGCUGUUCGCCAUUUAAAGUGGUACGCGAGCUGGGUUUAGAACGUCGUGAGACAGUUCGGUCCCUAUCUGCCGUGGGCGCUGGAGAACUGAGGGGGGCUGCUCCUAGUACGAGAGGACCGGAGUGGACGCAUCAC